UGGCUCAGAUUGAACGCUGGCGGCAGGCUUAACACAUGCAAGUCGAACGGUAACAUAAAGAAGCUUGCUUCUUUGAUGACGAGUGGCGGACGGGUGAGUAAUGCUUGGGAAUCUAGCUUAUGGAGGGGGAUAACUAUGGGAAACUGUAGCUAAUACCGCGUAGAAUCGGGAGAUGAAAGUGUGGGACCUUCGGGCCACAUGCCAUAGGAUGAGCCCAAGUGGGAUUAGGUAGUUGGUGAGGUAAAGGCUCACCAAGCCGACGAUCUCUAGCUGGGUCUGGGAGGAUGACCAGCCACACUGGGACUGAGACACGGGCCCAGACUCCUACGGGAGGCAGCAGUGGGGAAUUAUUGCGCAAUGGGGGGCACCCCUGACGCAGCCCAUGCCGCGUGAAUGAAGAAGCCUUCGGGUUGGUAAAUUCUUUUCGGUAGCGAGGGAAGGCAUUUAGUUAUUGAACAGGUGAUGGACGUUAACAUCCCAAGAGAGGACCGGCUAAUCUCUUCCAGAGCCCCGGGAUAUACGAAGUUCGAGCGUUAUAGGAAUACUCGGCUAACGCAUACAGGCGUACUAUGUAGGGAGAACCUCGGCUACCGGAUGCUUCAUCGGGCUAGAUCUAAGAGGGAAUCCCUGACGGUAGCGAAUGGGAUCAAGGAGUCCCUGGAGUGCUCCUGGAACUGGACAGAGGAAGCUGUUACCGUGACAGGGGUAGUGAAUUACGCGCUGAUAGGUAUAUCCUUGCAGGCGGAAAAAAAAAAAAUUGGUCAAAGAGAGUUUUUUUU
Molecule: ribosomal RNA, 779 nt
Filed under: uncultured bacterium
Lineage: Bacteria
Description: bacterial SSU rRNA
Rfam family: Bacterial small subunit ribosomal RNA (bases 11-536)
Source: RNAcentral